Molecule: ribosomal RNA, 505 nt
Filed under: uncultured bacterium
Lineage: Bacteria
Description: bacterial SSU rRNA
Rfam family: Bacterial small subunit ribosomal RNA
Source: RNAcentral
UCAGGAUGAACGCUGGCGGCAGGCUAAUACAUGCAAGUCGAACGGUAAGGUCCGAAGUGGCAACACGGAGGAUACACGAGUGGCGCACGGGUGCGUAACGCGUAUGCAACCUGCCCCCGACCGGGACAAAACAGCUGGAAACGGCUGCUAAUAUCCCAUGGUCAUGCGGAAGGGCAUCCUUCUUCAUGUAAAGAUUCAUUGGUCGGGGAUGGGCAUGCGUAUUAUCAGGUAGUUGGCGGGGUAACGGCCCACCAAGCCGACGAUGAUUAGGGGUCCUGAGAGGGUUAACCCCCACACUGGAACUGAGACACGGUCCAGACUCCUACGGGAGGCAGCAGUAGGGAAUAUUGGGCAAUGGGAGCAAUCCUGACCCAGCCAUGCCGCCGUGAAGGAAGACGGCCCUAUGGGUUGUAAACUUCUUUUGCCGCAGAGUAAACCCGGUCACGAGUGGUCGGUUGAGAGUAUGCGGCGAAUAAGUAUCGGCUAACUCCGUGCCAGCCGCCGC